AAAUUGAAGAGUUUGAUCAUGGCUCAGAUUGAACGCUGGCGGCAGGCCUAACACAUGCAAGUCGAGCGGCAGCGGAAAGUAGCUUGCUACUUUGCCGGCGAGCGGCGGACGGGUGAGUAAUGUCUGGGAAACUGCCUGAUGGAGGGGGAUAACUACUGGAAACGGUAGCUAAUACCGCAUAACGUCGCAAGACCAAAGAGGGGGACCUUCGGGCCUCUUGCCAUCAGAUGUGCCCAGAUGGGAUUAGCUAGUAGGUGGGGUAACGGCUCACCUAGGCGACGAUCCCUAGCUGGUCUGAGAGGAUGACCAGCCACACUGGAACUGAGACACGGUCCAGACUCCUACGGGAGGCAGCAGUGGGGAAUAUUGCACAAUGGGCGCAAGCCUGAUGCAGCCAUGCCGCGUGUAUGAAGAAGGCCUUCGGGUUGUAAAG
This 433-nucleotide ribosomal RNA is filed under the name Enterobacter asburiae. Its description in RNAcentral is "bacterial SSU rRNA". It matches the Rfam family "Bacterial small subunit ribosomal RNA", at positions 1 to 430 of the family's 1533-position model. The record is from RNAcentral. RNAcentral also lists the same sequence under 1 other name. Lineage: Bacteria; Pseudomonadati; Pseudomonadota; Gammaproteobacteria; Enterobacterales; Enterobacteriaceae.